RNAcentral lists this ribosomal RNA (422 nucleotides) under uncultured bacterium. RNAcentral's name for it is "bacterial SSU rRNA". It matches the Rfam family "Bacterial small subunit ribosomal RNA", at positions 359 to 773 of the family's 1533-position model. The record is from RNAcentral.
GAAUAUUGGACAAUGGGCGAAAGCCUGAUCCAGCGACGCCGCGUGUGUGAAGAAGGCCUGCGGGUUGUAAAGCACUUUUAGUGGGGAUGAAAAGCCGAAGGCUAAUACCUUUCGGUCUUGACCUAACCCACAGAAAAAGCACCGGCUAACUCUGUGCCAGCAGCCGCGGUAAUACAGAGGGUGCGAGCGUUAAUCGGAAUUACUGGGCGUAAAGCGUGCGUAGACGGUUGCGUAAGUCAGAUGUGAAAGCCCCGGGCUCAACCUGGGAAUUGCAUUUGAGACUGCGUAGCUAGGGUACGGAAGAGGGAAGCGGAAUUUCCGGUGUAGCGGUGAAAUGCGUAGAUAUCGGAAGGAACACCAGUGGCGAAAGCGGCUUCCUGGUCCAGUACCGACGUUCAGGCACGAAAGCGUGGGGAGCAAAC